UACGAAGGGGGCUAGUGUUGCUCGGAUUUACUGGGCGUAAAGGGCGCGUAGGCGGAUGUUUAAGUCGGGGGUGAAAGCCCGGGGCUCAACCUCGGAAUUGCCUUCGAUACUGGACAUCUUGAGUACGGAAGAGGUGAGUGGAACUCCGAGUGUAGAGGUGAAAUUCGUAGAUAUUCGGAAGAACACCAGUGGCGAAGGCGACUCACUGGCCCGUUACUGACGCUGAGGCGCGAAAGCGUGGGGAG
RNAcentral lists this ribosomal RNA (245 nucleotides) under uncultured bacterium. RNAcentral describes it as "partial 16S ribosomal RNA". It matches the Rfam family "Bacterial small subunit ribosomal RNA", at positions 524 to 768 of the family's 1533-position model. The record is from RNAcentral.